Molecule: long non-coding RNA, 5482 nt
Organism: Gallus gallus (chicken)
Lineage: Eukaryota; Metazoa; Chordata; Aves; Galliformes; Phasianidae
Source: Ensembl
AAGGAAUUAUCUCGCUCUCUUGAAACUAGCAGUACCUCCUCAUCAGUAAUGCUUGUAAAUUGUGGAGAAGUAGAUAGGAAGAGACUUUGUCUGCUUGUUAAACUCCACCUCCUUUUCUUUUGCAGUGAAAACAGCAGCACUUGAGUUGUUAUUUCAGAAGGCUAAAUGGGGCAGGAAAAAGGAGAAAAUAGGAGAUAUGGCUGAUGGGGGGAGGUGAAGUGUCUUUCCACAGCUACUUCUGGAGCCUUUCUUGGUCCACUGUGUCUACACCUCCAGUCAACGCUCUCCUUUCUUACCUGCUGUCCAGGGUGCCCAUCCUGUCUUCCCAGCUGAACCUGCAAAGUUGGGGACGUCCAUCUCCCCAUCUGCAGAGAGUUUGCCCAUUCCUAAAAGUCUUGAUGAUCUUCUGCAUGUGGCUAUUGAGGAGUUACCAUGACGAUUCCAUCUUGCAAUAUAGUCUCAUCUUCAAAUUUGAGACUCUUUCUGGAAAAAUGUUAUUUCCUCAUCUAUCUGGUAAAUGCAAUAACUAAACUCUCAAGUGCUGUGAUUUCAACCCUGCUUCUUCAUUGGGCCUCGUGGAGACUCUUGAAAGCACCAAGGCUUAUUGCCAAGGAGAGGAAUUGCAGUCCAAGUUGCGCACAUAACUCCAAGCUUACUCUAACAACACCUUUGUUUUUCAAACACAUGCUCUAAGCUGGCAAAUGUUAUUUAGUUACCCUCCAUUAAGCACCUGACUCAGGCUUGCAGCCUGGAAAAAGUAACCUCAUGUUAGGCUUUGUGGAUUGCCUAAGAACCUGAUAUUCCUAAACUCCUGCUGCAACCGUCCCAGGGAGAUCUCAUGGCAGUGACAUAUGCCUAGAGCCAUAUAAAAAGGGGGCAUGGAACAAGAGCUGGACAUCACCAAGGGGGCUGUGCCCCUGUGAUAUGACAGAAAAGUGAAGGAGUGGCGUAAUACCUGUCCUUAUGUGGAGAUUAUGGGAAACACUUCCUUUCCAUUUAUCAUGACAUAACUUUCCUGUGGGGAUUAUAGCAUUUGUUGACAAUGAAAUGUAAUAGUAGGAAAUUAUCCGACGCAUUUUGAUAUGUCUAAGUGAUACUGAGCAGGUGGAAACAUGAACAAAAUCUUCCAUCUGCAAAAACAGAAGUCCUGUACUUGUCUUCUAUUGACAACCCUUUAUUAUUUAUAUUCUGCAAGGACAACAAGUAGAAAUGUCACAUCUAGGUCAGUGCUGAGAAAGCCAAGUCUUCUCACUGGGCAAAGAACAGAAUACUUGGCCAGUUUAAUGGGUAAGUGUAAUGUGUUAGAAAGAGUUUCAAGAGAGAUGAAAAGGGAGAGGAAUAGAGAUCAUGAGGCAAAAAUAUCAGGAAAGGAAGGUUGAUAUUCAUGGUUCAUCUUGGAAAGUGUAAAGAAAGUGUCUUUGAUUUAAUUUAGUGAGUGUGGAAGUGGUCUGUGGAAUUGAGACCUGAAGUUGCAUCUACCAGUUAAUUUAAAGCUCCUACACCAGGGAGUACAGCGCAGCACCUCGCAUACACAGCUUGCUCAGUAUCAAGAAUGAAUAUUAGACUGUAUUUACAUUUUUACAACCUUCUCAUCUCUCUCUUUGCUUUCAGCCCCAGAGAAAGUUACAACAGGGUGGAGAAUAUGCAAACAGGUGUUUCGAGGCCUAGAAGUGAAUAGCACUGGGUACCUGUUUUGAUUGCAGCAGACUGAACAGUGAUGUCUACAGCAUGCUUUGCAACAGAGCAGUGUGUUCACUGGUCAUGGCUUGGAGUACCAAUAUAUCAGUGGAGGCCAAAUAAAGUUAGGCCACCAUUUUGUUAAGCAGAUAUAUCAGCAUUCGGGGGCUUACAUCUCUCUCUGUUUAUCCUAGUAUGUGACAUUGCCACUGCAUAUCACCUUGCUCUAUAAAUCCCAAAGACAAAAUUCUGCUUUGUAAUAGGAAGCACCCUGGAUGUUCCCCAGAAUUAUUGCUAGAUAGUUUUCUCUGCUUCAGUUCCCACAAAUUCAGAGAUUAUACCUGCAGGAGAUUAUCACCAAGUGAUCUCUUCUUGGGGAGAUUAGAUAUUAGGAAAAAAUUACUUAAUAUGAGGGUGGUCAAAUACUUGAACAAAUUUUUUAGAAAGGAGGUUGAUUCCCCAUGCCUACCAGUGUUCAAAGGACAUUUUGAUAAUCAUAGAAUCAUAGAAUGGCCUAGAUUGAAAAGGACCAUAAUAAUAAUCUACUUUCAAUCCCCUUGCUGUGCGCAGGGUGUCCAAACACUGGACCAGGUUGCCCAGAGCCACAUCCAGCCCGGACUUGAAUGCCUCCAGGGAUGGGGUAUCCACAACCUCCUUGGGCAACCUGUUUCAGUGCAUCACCACCCUCUGUGUGAAAAACUUCCUCCUAAUAUCUAACCUAAACCUCCCCUGUCUCAGUUUAAAACCAUUCCCCCUGUCCUAUCACUAUCAACCCAUGUAAGCAGUCAUUCCCACUCCUGUUUAUACCCUCCCUUCAAGUACUGGAAGGCCACAGUGAGGUCUCCCCACAGUCUUCUCCUCUUCAAGAUAAAUAAGCCCAGUUCUCUCAACCUUUCUUCACAGGCAAGGUCUCUGUGAGACCUCCAGCCCUCUGAUCACCUUAGUGGCCCUCCUGUGGACCCGUUCCAAGAGUUCCACAUCUUUCUUUUGCUGGGGGCCCCAGACCUGGACACAGCACUCCAGAUGGUUCCUCACAAGAGCUAAGUAGAGGGGGACAAUCACUUCCCUCUCCCUGCUGGCCACUCCUUUUUUACUGCAGCCCAGAACAUAGUUGGCCUUCCAGGCUGCAAGCGCGUACUGCUGGCUUAUGUCAAACUUCUCAUCCACCAGGACCCCCAGGUCCUUUGCAGGGCUGCUCUCAAGGGGUUCUUCUCCCAGUUUGUAUGAAUACCUGGGAUUUCUCUCGCCGAAGUGCAACAUCUUGCACUUGGCCUUAUUGAACCUCAUUAGGUUCUCAUGGUCCCACUUCUCCAGCCUGUCCAGGUCUCUCUGGAUGGCUUUCCUUCCCUCCAAUGUAUUGACUGCACCACUCAUCAUUAAGUUAACGAACUGCUACAAAUAUCGCAGCCUUUGCAAGCAUGAUUUAUUCUUUCCUAACUGCAAACUUUCUUGUGCAGUCUGAGAUAUAUGCAGUAUAUAUAGAGCUUUUCCUAUAAUUACAACUGUAUGGGCUGAAAGUACAGAACUAGAGAUUAUAGUGCUACUUCUUCAAAGGACAGGGUAUUAGCUUUCUCUCUGUAGACUCUGGUUGCACAGUUGAGUGUCACAUCACAAUUUAAUAGCCCUACUGAAGUUCAUCGUGUUUUAAACACCUAAAAUAAUAUCUUUACAUGAGUAUGAACAUAAAGUGAGCCACAGUUUUUCUGGCACUGCUCACCCAAGGAGACAUAUCUCUUCAGGAUUCCAAUGUGCACCCAGUGUAUUAAGGGUGCGUAUUUCCCUGUGAAAGUGAAACUAGACAGAAUGCUGUUCAAAGAAUAAAGAGAGGUGACAUCAUUCUAUUCGCCUACUAAAUUAGAAGUUUACUCAUUCGCCUUCAUGUCUCAGCUGACCCGAUCUGGAUUUUAACCAGCAAGUAAACAAGUCCCAUUAACAACACUAUUCAACACCACUUCUAGCAAGAUUCCAAUAUGCCUGCAGUUAAACAUUAUUUCAGACAACCAGUGUCCAGUCACUGACUUAAAAACUGUUUUUUUGCAUUUGCCACUUGGAUAAGCAGAAGGACAAAUAAAAAUCUUAUGAAGAAAAAGAAAGACAGCUGCGAAGGGUGCAAUUGGAUCAACUUCAGAAUAAGUCUGUGGAACAGAGUGGCAUUUGCAAAGGCACUGAAGCUCUCUCAUGGCAUCAGGAUGGUGGUGGUGACAGAGCCAUCUGUCCUGUCUUUUUUGCCCUUUCCUGUCUGCCAUUAAUUUUCCAUGAAGGCUCCAAGCGACAGUCUCCUCAUAGUGACCAUACUUGGAAACAAGGUGUAUGACAGGCAGGGGGAGAAUGACAACAAUCCCCACGAGCCCCCUUGUUACAGCUUGGGAAAAAAUAGCUGAGAGUUUGUAAAGUAGUGAAGAAGAGGUGAAAACUGAGGAGAUCUGCUGACAGGAGGAUUCAACAGGCACGCAAUCCCUUGUUACGUGUGCCUUUGAAUUGUGGUGCGGGAAUGGAGGCGUGCUUCUUGUGCACACGCUGCCGACAGUAAACAAGGGAGUAUUUCUGCAGCAGCUGUGUAUUUUCUAGGUUUUCUCCCAGAUCCUCACACCAAGCAGAAGAGUUACAACUCCCAUGUAGUGAUCACCACAGAGGACGUUGAUGGCUUGAUGGCUUGGGCACGUGGCAGCUGUAUAAGAGGGCAAAGAUUGAUGGUUGUAUGGGAGCUCCUGAAUCACGGCCUGAACAUCUGACUGAUCAGCUGAGGCAAGCAGAGUCAGCCAUGGGAGCACAGGUGAAGUCAAUUCACCUGUGUGACCAGAAGGGGUGGAGCCUGGCUGCACCUCUCCUUGACCUCCCAUAGAAGGGCUGAGUACAAUGGGGGAAGGGUUUUUUUCUAGAGAUUGCUAUUCUUGGAGUUUUUCCUGUGAGCCUACAACAUGGGUGAGCAUUUUCCAGUUAUUUCCAACGAUAAUCUUUCUAGUUAUACUAUCUGUGGAUAGCAAUCUGACCACACUACUCAGUAUAUUUGUUGACUAUACAAUGGUGUUAUCUUGCCUCAUCUACUUCACUCCUCUGGAAGAUUCUGGAAAAACUUAGGUUUCCAUCCGGAAAGUAUGACCCUGCUUGACUCACGCCCAGGAUUCAUUUAGAUGACAUACUUAAAAACCUGCAGAAAACUCAGAUCUGAAUUCAAGACUGGGGAGUGAUGAGAGUGAAGUUUUGUUCACAGCUAAUGUCUGGAGAUGCCAGUGACUAGGUAGCUUUGUAGAAAGUGUCAAUGCAGAAUACUAAACUAAGGCUGACUGUUCUGCCUAUGUUAAGGCAGGCUGUCCUUUGAACUCUGUUUCAACUUUUUACAGGUACACAAGAGAUUUGGGCUGAAUCAAAGUAAUCUGGCUUACUCACGAUGUCCUCUUGCAAAGAGCUGACUACUGAAACAUUGCUUGACUACUGAAAGUUAAGGUGUUCUAAUUUUCCUCUAUUAAUUUUUAAAAUUCAGUCUAUUUUCAAUUUUCCUCUAUUUAUUGAUGCUAGAAUGAACACGGGCCAGCAGUGUGCCCAGGUGGCCAAGAAGGCCAAGGGCAUCCUGGCUUGCAUCAGAUGCAGUGUUGCCAGCGGGAACAGAGAAGUAAUUGUCCCCCUGUACUCAGCCCUGGUGAGGCCGCACCUCGAGUACUGUGUCCGGUUUUGGGCCCCUCACUGCAAGUAAGACGUUGAGGCCCUGGAGCGUGUUCAAAGAAGGGCAACAAAGCUGGUGAGGGGUCUGGAGCACAGGCCUACGGGGAGCGGCUGAGGGAGCUGGGAUCGUUCAGUCUGGAGAAGA